UGAGUAAUCUUCCACAAUGGGGGCAACCCUGAUGGAGCGACGCCGCGUGGAGGAUAAGGUCUUCGGAUUGUAAACUCCUGUCAUGCGUGAACAAGGUUGCCUGGUUAAUACCUGGGCAAAUUGAUGGUAACGCACGAGGAAGAGACGGCUAACUCUGUGCCAGCAGCCGCGGUAAUACAGAGGUCUCAAGCGUUGUUCGGAAUCACUGGGCGUAAAGGGUGCGUAGGUGGCGUGGUAAGUCAGAUGUGAACGCCCGGGGCUCAACCUCGGAACUGCAUCCGAUACUGCCAUGCUAGAGUACUGGAGAGGUGACUAGAAUUCUCGGUGUAGAAGUGAAAUGCGUAGAUAUCGGGGGGAAGACCAAAGGCGUAGGCAGGUCACUGGAAAGUUACUGCCACUGAGGCACGAAGGCCUGGGGAGCAAACG
RNAcentral lists this ribosomal RNA (426 nucleotides) under uncultured bacterium. Its description in RNAcentral is "bacterial SSU rRNA". It matches the Rfam family "Bacterial small subunit ribosomal RNA", at positions 355 to 774 of the family's 1533-position model. The record is from RNAcentral.